This 204-nucleotide ribosomal RNA is filed under the name uncultured bacterium. RNAcentral's name for it is "partial 16S ribosomal RNA". It matches the Rfam family "Bacterial small subunit ribosomal RNA", at positions 524 to 726 of the family's 1533-position model. The record is from RNAcentral.
GACAGAGGGUGCAAACGUUGUUCGGAAUUACUGGGCGUAAAGCGAGUGUAGGCGGUUCGAUAAGUCGGAUGUGAAAGCCCCGGGCUCAACCCGGGAAGUGCACUCGAUACUGUCGAGCUAGAGUAUCGGAGAGGUGAGUGGAAUUCGAGUGUAGAGGUGAAAAUUCGUAGAUAUUCGGAAGAACAACCAGUGGCGAAGGCGAAG